RNAcentral lists this ribosomal RNA (507 nucleotides) under Klebsiella pneumoniae. RNAcentral describes it as "bacterial SSU rRNA". It matches the Rfam family "Bacterial small subunit ribosomal RNA", at positions 974 to 1479 of the family's 1533-position model. Lineage: Bacteria; Pseudomonadati; Pseudomonadota; Gammaproteobacteria; Enterobacterales; Enterobacteriaceae. The record is from RNAcentral.
CCUGGUCUUGACAUCCACAGAACUUUCCAGAGAUGGAUUGGUGCCUUCGGGAACUGUGAGACAGGUGCUGCAUGGCUGUCGUCAGCUCGUGUUGUGAAAUGUUGGGUUAAGUCCCGCAACGAGCGCAACCCUUAUCCUUUGUUGCCAGCGGUUAGGCCGGGGAACUCAAAGGAGACUGCCAGUGAUAAACUGGAGGAAGGUGGGGGAUGACGUCAAGUCAUCAUGGCCCUUACGACCAGGGCUACACACGUGCUACAAUGGCAUAUACAAAGAGAAGCGACCUCGCGAGAGCAAGCGGACCUCAUAAAGUAUGUCGUAGUCCGGAUUGGAGUCUGCAACUCGACUCCAUGAAGUCGGAAUCGCUAGUAAUCGUAGAUCAGAAUGCUACGGUGAAUACGUUCCCGGGCCUUGUACACACCGCCCGUCACACCAUGGGAGUGGGUUGCAAAAGAAGUAGGUAGCUUAACCUUCGGGAGGGCGCUUACCACUUUGUGAUUCAUGACUGGG